RNAcentral lists this unclassified non-coding RNA (246 nucleotides) under rhizosphere metagenome. RNAcentral's name for it is "partial ribosomal RNA internal transcribed spacer region". The record is from RNAcentral.
GUAGGUGAACCUGCGGAGGGAUCAUUCACAUGAUUUACUUUUAACAAACUGUGAACUUUAUUAACCAUUCGUGUUUGUUUUGUUUCAAUGACUUGUCAUUGUCACUUUACAUACACUGUCAUUCGAUGAACAUUAGAUAGCUGGCUUGUACUUAAACCAUACUUUCUCAGCUGAUUUGUUGUACUAAACAUACUUCCAAUCACCAAAAUAUAGAAAUAACUCUAUGCCCUGGAUAUCUUGGUUCUC